This 404-nucleotide ribosomal RNA is filed under the name Fusobacteriota bacterium. Its description in RNAcentral is "Fusobacteria bacterium partial 16S ribosomal RNA". It matches the Rfam family "Bacterial small subunit ribosomal RNA", at positions 355 to 776 of the family's 1533-position model. The record is from RNAcentral. Lineage: Bacteria; Fusobacteriati; Fusobacteriota.
UGGGGAAUAUUGCACAAUGGUGGGAACUCUGAUGCAGCGACGCCGCGUGAGUGAUGAAGGAAUUCGUUUCGUAAAACUCUGUUCUAUGGGAAGAAAAGGACUGUACCAUAGGAGAAAGCUCCGGCUAAAUACGUGCCAGCAGCCGCGGUAAUACGUAUGGAGCGAGCGUUGUCCGGAAUUAUUGGGCGUAAAGGGUGCGCAGGCGGCUUUACAAGUUGGAUGUGAAAUAUUGUGGCUCAACCACAAACGUGCAUCCAAAACUGCAAAGCUUGAGUUAAGGAGAGGUAAGUGGAAUUCCUGGUGUAGCGGUGGAAUGCGUAGAUAUCAGGAGGAAUACCGGUGGCGAAGGCGACUUACUGGACUUAAACUGACGCACAGGCACGAAAGCGUGGGGAGCAAACAGG